UGGACGAAAGUCUGAUGGAGCAACGCCGCGUGAGUGAUGAAGGUUUUCGGAUCGUAAAACUCUGUUGUAAGGGAAGAACAAGUGCGUUAGGUAAUGAACGCACCUUGACGGUACCUUAUUAGAAAGCCACGGCUAACUACGUGCCAGCAGCCGCGGUAAUACGUAGGUGGCAAGCGUUGUCCGGAUUUAUUGGGCGUAAAGCGCGCGCAGGUGGUUUCUUAAGUCUGAUGUGAAAGCCCACGGCUCAACCGUGGAGGGUCAUUGGAAACUGGGGAACUUGAGUGCAGAAGAGGAUAGUGGAAUUCCAAGUGUAGCGGUGAAAUGCGUAGAGAUUUGGAGGAACACCAGUGGCGAAGGCGACUGUCUGGUCUGUAACUGACACUGAGGCGCGAAAGCGUGGGGAGCAAACAGGAUUAGAUACCCUGGUAGUCCACGCCGUAAACGAUGAGUGCUAAGUGUNANGGGGUNUCCGCCCCUUAGUGCUGCAGCUAACGCAUUAAGCACUCCGCCUGGGGAGUACGACCGC
This 526-nucleotide ribosomal RNA is filed under the name bacterium T-1-0-3G. RNAcentral describes it as "bacterial SSU rRNA". It matches the Rfam family "Bacterial small subunit ribosomal RNA", at positions 372 to 889 of the family's 1533-position model. The record is from RNAcentral.